RNAcentral lists this ribosomal RNA (254 nucleotides) under uncultured prokaryote. RNAcentral's name for it is "partial 16S ribosomal RNA". It matches the Rfam family "Bacterial small subunit ribosomal RNA", at positions 524 to 777 of the family's 1533-position model. The record is from RNAcentral.
UACGUAGGUGGCAAGCGUUGUCCGGAAUCAUUGGGCGUAAAGAGCGCGUAGGUGGCUUGUCAGGUCUGAUGUGAAAACCUGGGGCUCAACUCCAGGCUUGCAUCAGAAACCGGCUUGCUAGAGUCUGGGAGAGGAGAGUGGAAUUCCUGGUGUAGCGGUGAAAUGCGUAGAUAUCAGGAGGAACACCGGUAGCGAAGGCGGCUCUCUGGAACAGUACUGACGCUGAGGCGCGAAAGCUAGGGGAGCGAACAGGA